This 477-nucleotide ribosomal RNA is filed under the name uncultured bacterium. RNAcentral's name for it is "bacterial SSU rRNA". It matches the Rfam family "Bacterial small subunit ribosomal RNA", at positions 28 to 507 of the family's 1533-position model. The record is from RNAcentral.
GAUGAACGCUGGCGGCGUGCCUAACACAUGCAAGUCGAGCGGAAAUAUUCAGAAGUAUACGUACGGAUGGAUAUUUUAGCGGCGGACGGGUGAGUAACACGUGAGCAACCUACCUUUUGCUGGGGAAUAACAUCGGGAAACCGAUGCUAAUACCGCAUGACAUUCCGAUGGGGCAUCCUGUUGGAAUCAAAGGAGAGAUCCGGCAAGAGAUGGGCUCGCGUCCGAUUAGCUGGUUGGUGAGGUAACGGCUCACCAAGGCGACGAUCGGUAGCCGGACUGAGAGGUUGGACGGCCACAUUGGGACUGAGACACGGCCCAGACUCCUACGGGAGGCAGCAGUGGGGAAUAUUGGGCAAGUGGGGAAACCCUGACCCAGCAACGCCGCGUGAAGGACGAAGGCCUUCGGGUUGUAAACUUCUUUGAUCAGGGACGAAAGCGAUGACGGUACCUGAGGAACAAGCCACGGCUAACUACGUG